UUUUAGAUUACUUUUCUUGUUGUGAUAUUGUGGUUUUGAUUCUUUUGUUUUAUUUUGAAUGUGGAAUAUGAUUAUUGUAUUGUAAGAUUUUGGUUUAUGAAGGUUUUAUGUGUAGUGUUGGUGUAAGGUUUUUGGAAGAGUAUGAAGUUUGGUUUGAUGAAGGUUUGUAUUCGAGUUAUGUGAGUAUGGAUGGAUUUGGUUGAGUUUGCUUUAUGUGGGAUUGUUCAUGGUGAGAGUAAGGAAGAUGGUGAAGGUGAUGUAGUAUGGUUGAAAGUGGUGGUGAAUUGGGUAUGAUUGGUUGAUGGUGUGUUGGUUUGUGAUGGAUUUGAGAAUGGUGAAAGGAUGGUAAAGGAGAUGAUAUGAUGAGU
This 368-nucleotide long non-coding RNA is filed under the name Lathyrus oleraceus (garden pea). RNAcentral's name for it is "Pisum sativum (pea) long non-coding RNA (PSAT_LNC031924)". Lineage: Eukaryota; Viridiplantae; Streptophyta; Magnoliopsida; Fabales; Fabaceae. The record is from RNAcentral.